Molecule: long non-coding RNA, 1158 nt
Filed under: Marmota monax (woodchuck)
Lineage: Eukaryota; Metazoa; Chordata; Mammalia; Rodentia; Sciuridae
Source: RNAcentral
UUCCCUGGUGGGAAGAGACCCCGUCCAGACUCUCUUCCUGUCAGAUCCAGAUGGGGCAGCUGCUGACCGGGGUGAGGAGUGACGUUUCCUCUGGGCAGCAGGGUGCCCGUGUGACACGGGGUGGACGGCGGCCCGUGACGGAUCGUGGAUGGGGCUUCUGUCAAACCCUUUUGUGAGCUGGAUGAGCCCUUCUCGCUGUCCCAUCCUUCCCGCCCAGAUGCAGACGUGCUGGCAGGGUCCCCGUCCCCGGCGCUCUCCACACUAACACCUGGUGCUUCCAGUCGGGUGGACGUGCCCGGCCUUGCUGUGUUUCCAUUUUUAAUUCUUUGAUCCCUGUGAGACGGUGGUGUCUGUUCUGGUCUCUUUUGACUCUUUGUAGCCUUUUUCUUUUCUUUUCUUUUCUUUUUUUUUUUGUUGUUGAUUUGUAGAAGUUCUUUACAUAGUGUGGAUAUGAACCUUUUGCCCAUUAUAAGCAUUGCCUGAACCCUCUGCCUCGCAAUGGCUACUCUUUUCACUUUUUCCAGUGGCAUCUUCUGUGAUAUAGUUACACAUCUCUGUCCUGUCUGUGCUUUCUGUGAUGACUGAAUACAGCUUCUCUCAGCCUCGUGAAGAUAUUCUCCUAGGUUUUAUUUUAAAACUAUGUGGAUUCUCUGUGCCUAUUUAAGUGUUGGAGUCAUUGGGAAUUUCUCUCUUUGGUAGGUGUAGAGACGGGAUCUGAUUUUACCUUGUUUUUCUUUGUAACGUGGAUGGUCCCAGACCUACGUAUUGAGCGAUGCUCCUUUGUUCUUUUUUUUCCGACCGACGUGUCCUUAUGUGUCAUUUCCAUUAAAUCUGAGCUCUCUGACGUCAUGCUCUCCCUGCAGGAACACAGGUGACUGACCACAGUGGUGGCCUGGCGGGGCUUUAUCUCUGGGUGGCCCUGCGGGGCCCCUCACUCUCCCUCCCCCCUCCUUUGUCCUUCUUUGGGACCGUCUUCUGUUCUUAGCACGUUAAUCGUCCCCAUAAAUUUUAGGGCCAUCUUGUCAAGUUUUAUGACACCACCUACUGGGGUUUUAUUAGAUUUGCCUUGAGUUCAUAAAGGGGCAGGCGGGAGCAGACCGCAGCCUGACCGGAAGCGCUGGUGCUGUCUCUCGGUGAUUGAUAGGAAGGGGACAAAAC